AAGUUUAGGUUAAAUACCACAAACCAGGGACCUUCAAAGCCCCAAAUAAGAGCCCACUAACCUCUUACCUUCU
This 73-nucleotide transfer RNA is filed under the name Cnemaspis boulengeri. Its description in RNAcentral is "tRNA-Trp". The record is from RNAcentral. Lineage: Eukaryota; Metazoa; Chordata; Lepidosauria; Squamata; Gekkonidae.